GAUAAGAUGGCUGAGGUAAAAGUGGUAAAUUGUAAAUUUAUUAAGAAGAAUUUUCUUUCUUAUCA
This 65-nucleotide transfer RNA is filed under the name Ruidocollaris convexipennis. RNAcentral's name for it is "tRNA-Tyr". The record is from RNAcentral. Lineage: Eukaryota; Metazoa; Arthropoda; Insecta; Orthoptera; Tettigoniidae.